This 327-nucleotide RNase P RNA is filed under the name Bacteroidales bacterium. RNAcentral describes it as "RNase P RNA component class A". It matches the Rfam family "Bacterial RNase P class A". Rfam says of the family: Ribonuclease P (RNase P) is a ubiquitous endoribonuclease, found in archaea, bacteria and eukarya as well as chloroplasts and mitochondria. Its best characterised activity is the generation of mature 5'-ends of tRNAs by cleaving the 5'-leader elements of precursor-tRNAs. Cellular RNase Ps are ribonucleoproteins. Lineage: Bacteria; Pseudomonadati; Bacteroidota; Bacteroidia; Bacteroidales. The record is from RNAcentral.
CAGGUGGGGCGAUCCGCCGCGCUUCGGGGCUUCGGCUUCGGGGUGAGGAAAGUCCGGACAGGUCAGGGCACCCUGCUGGGGAAAGCCCAGGCGGGAGAGAUCUCGGGCGGCCGUGACAGAAAACAACCGCCGCUUCGGUGGCAAGGGUGAAAACGUGGGGUAAGAGCCCACGACGUGUGUCUGGCGACAGGCCGCGGGCACGGCACCAGGGCCUGCAAAACCAAAUAUACUGGCAGAUGAGGGCUGCCCGCCCGAUGCCAGGGGGUAGGUCGCGUAGAUAAAUGGCGGAUUUAAAAACAGAAACCGGCUUACGGCCCCACCUUUUUU